UGAAUUGACAGGGGCCCGCACAAGCGGUGGAGUAUGUGGUUAAUUCGAUGCAACGCGAAGAACCUUACCUGGUCUUGACAUCCCGGAGACCCUUAGGAAACUAGGGGGUGCUUCCAUCUGGAAGAAUCUGGAGACAGGUGCUGCAUGGCUGUCGUCAGCUCGUGUCGUGAGAUGUUGGGUUAAGUCCCGCAACGAGCGCAACCCUUGCCUUUAGUUGCCAGCAGUUCGGCUGGGCACUCUAAAGGGACUGCCGGUGUUAAACCGGAGGAAGGUGGGGAUGACGUCAAGUCCUCAUGGCCUUUAUGACCAGGGCUACACACGUACUACAAUGGCCGAUACAAAGGGCAGCGACACUGCGAGGUGAAGCCAAUCCCGUAAAAUCGGUCUCAGUCCGGAUUGGAGUCUGCAACUCGACUCCAUGAAGUUGGAAUCGCUAGUAAUCGUGGAUCAGCAUGCCACGGUGAAUACGUUCCCGGGCCUU
RNAcentral lists this ribosomal RNA (481 nucleotides) under uncultured Desulfobulbus sp. RNAcentral's name for it is "bacterial SSU rRNA". It matches the Rfam family "Bacterial small subunit ribosomal RNA", at positions 907 to 1382 of the family's 1533-position model. The record is from RNAcentral. Lineage: Bacteria; Pseudomonadati; Thermodesulfobacteriota; Desulfobulbia; Desulfobulbales; Desulfobulbaceae.